GUGCUCUAACUAACAUCGUACUAAGAAUUGCAUUUUUCUCUCUCCUGACUUAGAUUUAAAUCUUGCAAUCACUGCUGGGAAGUGAGCUGUAUCAUCUUGAGAAAUCAGACCACAGAGACGGGCCUGCAGCUGGCAGGCUGGGUCAUCUUUAAUCGCUUAACCCUUCAUAUCAAAGGAUGGCUUGUAGCAGCAGAUUCCUUCUCCAGAAUUUGCCAUGGCAGAUUUUCUCAAGGAAAAGCUGUCUAUGGACAACGAAGCUCCUCUGUGCAACUGGCUGUGCUGUGGAACCAAUCUCA
This 296-nucleotide long non-coding RNA is filed under the name Chinchilla lanigera (long-tailed chinchilla). RNAcentral describes it as "lncRNA (ENSCLAG00000028169.1)". The record is from RNAcentral. Lineage: Eukaryota; Metazoa; Chordata; Mammalia; Rodentia; Chinchillidae.